Bison bison bison is the source of this 98-nucleotide small nuclear RNA. The record is from Ensembl. NCBI's taxonomy places the organism in Eukaryota, Metazoa, Chordata, Mammalia, Artiodactyla, Bovidae.
GGGCUCGCUUCGGCAGCACAUAUACUAAAAUUGGAACGAUACAGAGAAGAUUAGCAUGGCCCCUGCGCAAGAAUCCAGGGGAGAGGUAGUAAGGUCUU